Molecule: ribosomal RNA, 474 nt
Filed under: uncultured bacterium
Lineage: Bacteria
Description: bacterial SSU rRNA
Rfam family: Bacterial small subunit ribosomal RNA
Source: RNAcentral
AAUGAACGUUGGCGGCGUGGAUUAGGCAUGCAAGUCGGACGCCCCGCAAGGGGAGUGGCGCAAGGGUGAGUAAGGCGACGGUAACCAACCCCGCGGUUGGGCAUAGCCGAGGGAAACCUCGGGUAAUUCCCAGCGACGUAGCGAGCCGGCAUCGGCGUGCUACCAAAGAUUUAUCGCCGUGGGACGGGCCGUCGUGGUAUUAGCUAGUUGGUGGGGUGACGGCCCACCAAGGCCGCGAUGCCUACCGGGUGUGCGAGCAUGGCCCGGCACACUGGGACUGAGACACUGCCCAGACUCCUACGGGAGGCUGCAGUCGAGAAUCUUCGGCAAUGGGCGCAAGCCUGACCGAGCGACGCCGCGUGGAGGACGAAGGCCUUCGGGUUGUAAACUCCUGUCGAGGGGGAGGAAGGCGCAAGCUUGACCGAUCCCUGGAGGAAGCACGGGCUAAGUUCGUGCCAGCAGCCGCAGUAACAC